GACUCGUUGAUGGAAAAGAUGCAGGAUUACAUCCGCCUGCAUUCAGCCCCUCUCCUGCCUCGUUCCCUGCCCAAGGAGUCUGAUGAGCCGUCAGACUUGGAGCUGCUGGCUCACAUGGACAGCCUGUCACCGUCCAAGCUUGAAGUUGAGGUCCAGGUUUCCUCCAGCCGCUUCCCUCCUCCAGCUGAGACUACGUCUCCAUCUGCGCCUUCCCGGGCAACCAAUACGAGGACACUGUUCACAUCCCUCGUUCCGGUGCUGGUUCCUCUGGACUUGUCUGGGUACCAGCAGAAGGUACCAGCACUCUGAGGUCAUUUAAAUAUAUGAAUAAGUAAAUUACACACAGUUGGGUCGUCCAUGAAGGUUGGGGGUUUGAAUCCUGCCUCCUAAAGGUGCACACUGUGGUUGUGUCCUUGGGCAAGACACUUCACUCGCCUCCAGUGUCUGCGUACACUGGUGUGUGAAUGAGAGUGAAUGGGUGAGUGGAUCCUUGCUGUAAAGCGCUUUGAGCCCAAUGUAGGUGAAAAUGCGCGGUAUAAGUUGAGACCAUUUAUCUUAUAAUAUAAAACGCAAUUGCCCGUGCUGUUUCCGGGUUGGGUGCUGGUGAAAUCUGAUGUUUUCACACUUACAUUCUCUGUCAAUGAUUACAUCGGAUACCCAGCUGGCCGCGACGCAACACGAGUUAAUCAAAACAACCGUUUUAAUCAUAUGUUACAUAUUUUUCAUGAAUAAACUACUUGAAUAUAAAUGGUUACGGUGGAAAAGUUGCUCACGUUACUUACCUCUUACCUUUAACUUGAGCUGUUAAAUGGUCAAUAACUUCCUCUCUUAAGCAAAAAGGCAGUAAUCCAUUCAUGUAAAAUCCAGGUGAAUAAAACAGAUUUUGGCUGGCUCUUUAUCGCAGAAAUACAUGAUUCCCAGAGUUUAGUGACUUAUUGUAGAUUUAGGCCCAAUCUCAAUUCUCCCCCUUAGCCCUCCGCUUAGCCCUUUCCCUUCGUUGUGCGCGUUCACGAGAGAC
This 1018-nucleotide long non-coding RNA is filed under the name Neogobius melanostomus (round goby). RNAcentral describes it as "lncRNA (ENSNMLG00000006969.1)". Lineage: Eukaryota; Metazoa; Chordata; Actinopteri; Gobiiformes; Gobiidae. The record is from RNAcentral.